GUAGGUGGCAAGCGUUGUCCGGAAUUAUUGGGCGUAAAGCGCGCGCAGGCGGUCCUUUAAGUCUGAUGUGAAAGCCCACGGCUCAACCGUGGAGGGUCAUUGGAAACUGGGGGACUUGAGUACAGAAGAGGAAAGCGGAAUUCCAAGUGUAGCGGUGAAAUGCGUAGAGAUUUGGAGGAACACCAGUGGCGAAGGCGGCUUUCUGGUCUGUAACUGACGCUGAGGCGCGAAAGCGUGGGGAGCAAACAGGGAUUAGAUACCCUGGUAGUCCACGCCGUAAACGAUGAGUGCUAAGUGUUAGGGGGUUUCCCGCCCCCUUAGUGCUGCAGCUAACGCAUUAAGCACUCCGCCUGGGGAGUACGCCGCAAGGCUG
RNAcentral lists this ribosomal RNA (373 nucleotides) under uncultured organism. RNAcentral's name for it is "partial 16S ribosomal RNA". It matches the Rfam family "Bacterial small subunit ribosomal RNA", at positions 527 to 896 of the family's 1533-position model. The record is from RNAcentral.